UUUUGAACGCAAGUUGCGCCCGAGGCUCGUCUGAGGGCAUGCCUGCCUGAGCGUCCCU
This 58-nucleotide ribosomal RNA is filed under the name Cololejeunea gottschei. Its description in RNAcentral is "partial 5.8S ribosomal RNA". The record is from RNAcentral. Lineage: Eukaryota; Viridiplantae; Streptophyta; Jungermanniopsida; Porellales; Lejeuneaceae.